Molecule: ribosomal RNA, 511 nt
Filed under: uncultured bacterium
Lineage: Bacteria
Description: bacterial SSU rRNA
Rfam family: Bacterial small subunit ribosomal RNA
Source: RNAcentral
GGCUUAGGAUGAACGCUAGCUACAGGCUAACACAUGCAAGUCGAGGGCAGCAUAUAGAUAGCUUGCUAUUUAUGAUGGCGACCGGCGCACGGGUGAGUAACGCGUAUCCAACCUUCCCUAGUACUAGAGAAGUAGCCCGGCGAAAGUCGGAUUAAUGCUCUAUGUUCUUCUUUGAUGGCAUCUGACGAGAAGCAAAAGGUUUACCGGUAUAGGAUGGGGGAUGCGUCUGAUUAGGUUGUUGGCGGGGUAACGGCCCACCAAGCCUACGAUCAGUAGGGGUUCUGAGAGGAAGGUCCCCCACAUUGGUACUGAGACACGAACCAAACUCCUACGGGAGGCAGCAGUGAGGAAUAUUGGUCAAUGGGCGAGAGCCUGAACCAGCCAAGUAGCGUGCCAGGAUGACUGCCCUAUGGGUUGUAAACUGCUUUUAUAGGGGAAUAAAGUGAGGUAUGCAUACCUUUUUGUAUGUACCCUAUGAAUAAGGACCGGCUAAUUCCGUGCCAGCCGCGGC